Molecule: ribosomal RNA, 375 nt
Filed under: uncultured Halomonas sp.
Lineage: Bacteria; Pseudomonadati; Pseudomonadota; Gammaproteobacteria; Oceanospirillales; Halomonadaceae
Description: bacterial SSU rRNA
Rfam family: Bacterial small subunit ribosomal RNA
Source: RNAcentral
CAUAGGAAUCUGCCCGGUAGUGGGGGAUAACCUGGGGAAACCCAGGCUAAUACCGCAUACGUCCUACGGGAGAAAGCAGGGGAUCUUCGGACCUUGCGCUAUCGGAUGAGCCUAUGUCGGAUUAGCUGGUUGGUGAGGUAACGGCUCACCAAGGCGACGAUCCGUAGCUGGUCUGAGAGGAUGAUCAGCCACAUCGGGACUGAGACACGGCCCGAACUCCUACGGGAGGCAGCAGUGGGGAAUAUUGGACAAUGGGCGCAAGCCUGAUCCAGCCAUGCCGCGUGUGUGAAGAAGGCCCUCGGGUUGUAAAGCACUUUCAGUGGGGAAGAAGGCCUUGCGGUUAAUACCCGCGAGGAAGGACAUCACCCACAGCGG